This 447-nucleotide ribosomal RNA is filed under the name uncultured bacterium. Its description in RNAcentral is "bacterial SSU rRNA". It matches the Rfam family "Bacterial small subunit ribosomal RNA", at positions 329 to 793 of the family's 1533-position model. The record is from RNAcentral.
GGCCAGACUCCUACGGGAGGCAGCAGUGGGGAAUAUUGCACAAUGGGGGGAACCCUGAUGCAGCGACGCCGCGUGAGGGAAGAAGGUUUUCGGAUUGUAAACCUCUGUCCUCUGUGACGAUAAUGACGGUAGCAGAGGAGGAAGCCACGGCUAACUACGUGCCAGCAGCCGCGGUAAUACGUAGGGGGCAAGCGUUAUCCGGAUUUACUGGGUGUAAAGGGAGCGUAGACGGUUAUGCAAGUCUGAAGUGAAAGCCCAAGGCUCAACCAUGGGACUGCUUUGGAAACUGUAAAACUGGAGUGCAGGAGAGGUAAGCGGAAUUCCUAGUGUAGCGGUGAAAUGCGUAGAUAUUAGGAGGAACACCAGUGGCGAAGGCGGCUUACUGGACUGUAACUGACGUUGAGGCUCGAAGGCGUGGGGAGCAAACAGGAUUAGAUACCCCCGUAU